AUCUAUAUAUCUCUAUAACUAUAUCCUGCGGCCCGCCAUUCCCUCUAGUUAUGUCCGAUGUAUUGCUGAACUCCGAGACAGAAAUAAAAACCCAUAUAAAGAGACUGGAGGACACAAAGAGGCUUCCGAUAUAUCAUUUCUCUGGCAUUGGGGUGAUUUGAUUUGUAUGUAUUCCAGCUAUUGUUAGUUAUCAAACCUUGGGGACGGAGUGCCUGCUGCCCACAGCAACAGGGGAGCUUCGAUUGAGCUAUCUAUCCCGGGAUCAGAAAGCUAAACGACGUUCCAUAAAAGAAAGAAAGAAAGAAAGAAUGGGGCAGAAAGAGAGCUGCAUGCACACACACUGCACCCACACGCGGUAUGAUUAUGAUUAUGAUUAUGAUUAUGAUUAUGAAACGAAAGACAAAAUUCCUGUUCAACAAUUGAGGUCACAUACACCACCACCACCACAUUGAUCACCCACUACAGAAGGCCAUCAUCAACUCAUCAUCACCACAUCAACUCAUCGCCAUCAUCCAUCAUCCAUCAUCCAUCAUCCAUCAUCCACAGCCAGCAGAUCAAUGAUGAACACAACACUCCUCCCUUCCCUCUCUCGGCCCGCGUAAGGUGCUGACGCACGCUUCCCCCGGCCUAGCGUUGUCCACGGACGAAAUCGGCCCCCAAGCCAGCCAAUGGGGGGUGCGAGUGUCCGCAAGUCCCCAGAAAGGGUUCCCCCCUUGGGAGCCACUCAGAGCAGCGAUUCUCACAUGCAAAUCCUCCGGCUUGGCUGUUGGUUGGGCCGUGGGGAACAGUACGAGUAAGUAUGUAUAUCAUGAUUGAUGUCAAUCGAUGUCGUGGCAUGGUACUGUGGGAACUUGUGGCUGCUAGGGAAUGUGUUCUGUUGCCCUUCUUCCGUUUGGCCGGCUCCUGCCGCUCCCGGCUUCGUUAGUUUCGAUUCAGAUCUGCGUACGACGCGGGUGGGUUGUUGUCGUCAUGGUUCGUUUCAGAAACGGAAGGAUAGAAUGUAGGAAAAAAAAAAAAGAAAAUAUAUGAUGUGGCCAGCGGGUUGGGCUGGGGGGGGUUGAAUGGCGAACAGGGGAGGUGCAGGUUUCAUCUGUGUACGAUCAUCGACCGAUCGACCGUCCAUCACACGGCACUGAGGGUAGUUUUUGAAGAAGGGAUCGCUAGAGAAACAAGCCUUACCUUUUCUCUUGUUAGUUCCCAGGGGUGUGUGUUCCUGACCCUGACCUGGGAGUGGCGGCGAGCGACGAUCAUCCACGGUGCCUGGUUUCCCAGAAGCGACAAACCAGGCAUGAUCGGUGAUGAUGACGAUGACGAUGACGCUGGCCAUGACGAUGGCGUGGAUGAAUGGAGUAUCAUAUUAUUUUAAUAUCCACCGUCACAGGCGCUUUGCAGGAGAAGGAGAGAAGGACAGUGUGGCCUCCCCCCGCCUGCGAUGCAUGGUUUGGCUGUAUAUGGACCAUUCUCAGGACGGGGGCUUGCUGCGAAUAUAGCAU
Molecule: small RNA, 1493 nt
Filed under: Histoplasma capsulatum var. duboisii H88
Lineage: Eukaryota; Fungi; Ascomycota; Eurotiomycetes; Onygenales; Ajellomycetaceae
Description: Histoplasma capsulatum H88 hypothetical RNA
Source: RNAcentral